CGGUGAUUAGCGCAGUCUGGUAGCGCACUUCGUUCGGGACGAAGGGGUCACAGGUUCAAGUCCUGUAUCACCGA
Molecule: transfer RNA, 74 nt
Filed under: Succinatimonas hippei YIT 12066
Lineage: Bacteria; Pseudomonadati; Pseudomonadota; Gammaproteobacteria; Aeromonadales; Succinivibrionaceae
Rfam family: tRNA
About the family: Transfer RNA (tRNA) molecules are approximately 80 nucleotides in length. Their secondary structure includes four short double-helical elements and three loops (D, anti-codon, and T loops). Further hydrogen bonds mediate the characteristic L-shaped molecular structure. tRNAs have two regions of fundamental functional importance: the anti-codon, which is responsible for specific mRNA codon recognition, and the 3' end, to which the tRNAs corresponding amino acid is attached (by aminoacyl-tRNA synthetases). tRNAs cope with the degeneracy of the genetic code in two manners: having more than one tRNA (with a specific anti-codon) for a particular amino acid; and 'wobble' base-pairing, i.e. permitting non-standard base-pairing at the 3rd anti-codon position.
Source: Rfam by way of RNAcentral